GGGCCCGCACAAGCGGUGGAGCAUGUGGUUCAAUUCGACGCAACGCGAAGAACCUUACCUGGGCUCGAACGGCUCAUGACGAGCUGUGGAAACACGGCUUUUCCCGCAAGGGACUAGAGUCGAGGUGCUGCAUGGCUGUCGUCAGCUCGUGUCGUGAGAUGUUGGGUUAAGUCCCGCAACGAGCGCAACCCUUGUCCUGUGUUACCAUGCCGAAAGGCGGCACUCGCAGGAGACCGCCAGCGAUAAGCUGGAGGAAGGUGGGGAUGACGUCAAGUCCUCAUGGCCUUUAUGUCCAGGGCUACACACGUGCUACAAUGGGCGGUACAAAGCGCUGCUAAGUCGCAAGACGGAGCCAAUCGCAGAAAGCCGCUCUCAGUUCGGAUUGCAGGCUGCAACUCGCCUGCAUGAAGCUGGAAUCGCUAGUAAUGCUAUAUCAGAAUGAUAGCGUGAAUACGUUCCCGGGCCUU
This 467-nucleotide ribosomal RNA is filed under the name uncultured bacterium. RNAcentral describes it as "bacterial SSU rRNA". It matches the Rfam family "Bacterial small subunit ribosomal RNA", at positions 917 to 1382 of the family's 1533-position model. The record is from RNAcentral.